UGGGGGAUAUUGCACAAUGGGGGGAACCCUGAUGCAGCGACGCCGCGUGGGCGAUGGAGUACUUCGGUAUGUAAAGCCCUAUCAGCAGGGAAGAAAAUGACGGUACCUGACUAAGAAGCCCCGGCUAAAUACGUGCCAGCAGCCGCGGUAAUACGUAUGGGGCAAGCGUUAUCCGGAUUUACUGGGUGUAAAGGGAGCGUAGGCGGCCUGGCAAGCCUGAUGUGAAAUACCGGGGCCCAACCCCGGGGCUGCAUUGGGAACUGCCAGGCUGGAGUGCCGGAGAGGCAGGCGGAAUUCCUAGUG
RNAcentral lists this ribosomal RNA (303 nucleotides) under uncultured bacterium. RNAcentral's name for it is "bacterial SSU rRNA". It matches the Rfam family "Bacterial small subunit ribosomal RNA", at positions 355 to 675 of the family's 1533-position model. The record is from RNAcentral.